GGGUCUUCAUGGCCCGACCUCCACCCUCUGUUGUUAAAACUACCUUGUUGCUUUGGCGGGACCGUCUCGGUCUCCGAGCGCACUAACCCUCGGGUUGGUGAGCGCCCGCCAGAGUCCAACCAAACUCUUGUAUUAAACCAGUCGUCUGAGUAUAAAAUUUUAAUUAAAUUAAAACUUUCAACAACGGAUCUCUUGGUUCUCGCAUCGAUGAAGAACGCAGCGAAAUGCGAUAAGUAAUGUGAAUUGCAGAAUUCAGUGAAUCAUCGAAUCUUUGAACGCACAUUGCGCCCCUUGGUAUUCCGAGGGGCAUGCCUGUUCGAGCGUCAUUACACCACUCAAGCAUCGCUUGGUAUUGGGAACGGUCCGUCGAAAGGCGGGCCUUCCUCGAAGACCUCGGCGGGGUUCAACCAACUUCGGGCGUAGUAGAGUUAAAUCGAACGUCUUAUAAGCUUGGUCGGAUCUCAUUGCCGUUAAACCUUUAAAUUUUCUAGGUUGACCUCGGAUCAGGUAGGGAUACCCGCUGAACUUAAGCAUAU
RNAcentral lists this ribosomal RNA (536 nucleotides) under uncultured fungus. Its description in RNAcentral is "eukaryotic LSU rRNA". The stretch from base 173 to 326 matches the Rfam family "5.8S ribosomal RNA". The record is from RNAcentral. Lineage: Eukaryota; Fungi.